Molecule: unclassified non-coding RNA, 250 nt
Filed under: uncultured bacterium
Lineage: Bacteria
Description: contains 16S-23S intergenic spacer region
Source: RNAcentral
CAUCCUUCUCAGGGACUGGUACAAUGUUGGCAACCCAUUCCGGGUACCGAGCGACAGCCAAAAACCCAACGUCAAAUUGUUUCUUUACCUCUUCUUUUAUCUUCAACGAUGUCUCGGGCUUCAUCCUUCUCAGUUUCUGCUUUACCGGGGGACACUCGGGAUUUAGGGGUAAUCGGUGUUGUAAAAUGUCAGAACUCAAACUGGGCAUAUCUUGGUAGGACCAAGCAAAGAUGUCUUGGUAAUCUCUUAG